Molecule: ribosomal RNA, 534 nt
Filed under: Saccharomyces cerevisiae (brewer's yeast)
Lineage: Eukaryota; Fungi; Ascomycota; Saccharomycetes; Saccharomycetales; Saccharomycetaceae
Description: partial large subunit ribosomal RNA
Rfam family: Eukaryotic large subunit ribosomal RNA
Source: RNAcentral
GGCAAAAGCUCAAAUUUGAAAUCUGGUACCUUCGGUGCCCGAGUUGUAAUUUGGAGAGGGCAACUUUGGGGCCGUUCCUUGUCUAUGUUCCUUGGAACAGGACGUCAUAGAGGGUGAGAAUCCCGUGUGGCGAGGAGUGCGGUUCUUUGUAAAGUGCCUUCGAAGAGUCGAGUUGUUUGGGAAUGCAGCUCUAAGUGGGUGGUAAAUUCCAUCUAAAGCUAAAUAUUGGCGAGAGACCGAUAGCGAACAAGUACAGUGAUGGAAAGAUGAAAAGAACUUUGAAAAGAGAGUGAAAAAGUACGUGAAAUUGUUGAAAGGGAAGGGCAUUUGAUCAGACAUGGUGUUUUGUGCCCUCUGCUCCUUGUGGGUAGGGGAAUCUCGCAUUUCACUGGGCCAGCAUCAGUUUUGGUGGCAGGAUAAAUCCAUAGGAAUGUAGCUUGCCUCGGUAAGUAUUAUAGCCUGUGGGAAUACUGCCAGCUGGGACUGAGGACUGCGACGUAAGUCAAGGAUGCUGGCAUAAUGGUUAUAUGCCGC